This is a long non-coding RNA of Orcinus orca (killer whale), 6178 nucleotides long. RefSeq lists it as uncharacterized. The transcript is spliced from 4 exons. NCBI's taxonomy places the organism in Eukaryota, Metazoa, Chordata, Mammalia, Artiodactyla, Delphinidae. The record is from RefSeq and is a predicted model, not a curated record.
UCCAUUCCCUCAGUUCAGGGGAGAAAGGAGAUUGCAUCGGUGAUAGGAGGGUGAGGUUGGAAUAUCUCUUCCUCAGCCACCUUCUGGACAGUUUGCAGGAAGCAUGAUACAUAUCUAUGGUAUCAGAAUCCACUCCUCAAGUUAUACUGCUUGACAGCUUGGUUGCCUGCAUAAUAGCAAGAAGCCAUGGGCCUGAACAGCAUCACAUGAGUAAAGUUAGCUGCAAGAAGAACUUCCACAAAUGGAAAGGGCAAGAACAAGUCCCAAGACUUCAUCUCCCGAGGGGUGCUUAGGAAUACAGACAGACGAAAGGCUACAGAGUUGUUCUGUGGCUAUACAAGACACCAUCUUGUUCUCCAAGAAAGAAGGCCAACUUCUUUUCUGGAACCCAGCAAGUCACCCUGCAGCCGUAAACUAUUGAAUGGUUCCUCUUAAGUGGAGAUGGUAAACAGAACCCUGUAUGGACUGUCAACAGCCUCCCUAUACACCUUGGUGUGCAGAGCUAGUUGCUGAGACAUAGGUGGGUAAAUCUAUUUCGGAGCCAAAGAGCCUUCUGGGUGGACCUGUUUAUUUUACUCUGAUAGAUUUAGAAGUUUGGGACAGCAAUGUCGCCAAGAGGAACUCAAGAUAAGGCAGUUAGGAGUGAUGUCCCAGGCUCAAUACAAAGGCUGAGCACAGAAGAGGCUGGCUGGGCACAGCUGCUGUUAAGGCAGGAAGCCCCUUCUGCCACACCAGCCCAUGAGAAUCUUGCUUUAGGAGAAAUGACAGAACGUGUGAGGGGAGCCAGAAGAGUUGCCAUCCUGCAUCACUCUGGUCUGUGUGGGGAUCUGGACUGGUAAGGGUACCUUUGUGUGGUGGACAGAGAUACCCAGAGGGAACAGAGAUGUUGCACGGCAGUAGAAACAGCUGCAGCUCAAAACCAGUGCCCUCUGGUGAACUGACCUAGCUCCCUAGUAGCCUUCCUGCCUGUUUUGAAGCAGCACUGACCCUGGGGGCUAAGCAAGCCUCCUGACAGUCUGUGGGAGGUGGGGAAGUACAUACUGUAAGAGGGAGACACUGGACUUCUUGCUGAGGUAGGCAGGUGGGUACUUGAGGAUUUGGAAAAUUAAAAGGGAUGCAAUUCCAUUUAUAGCCCAAGCUAUUAAAACAGGCCGUAAGUAUGUAAUGUGUGCUGAGUGCAUUGAAAGGAGAAGUAGGUGCUAUGGAAAUAUCUAACAAGGGGAUUUGAAGUAAUGGGUGUCGUGAGGGAGUAGAGUCAGGGGUGGGAGUAGAAUCAGGGAAGGCUUGAUGAAGUGACAGCUUAGCUAAGAUUCAAAGGAUGACUCCAACUCAGGUGGACAAAGAAAAGAAAGUAUUUUAGAAAGAGUGAAUAUUAUAUGUGAAAACUCAGAAUUGCAAGAAUGAGAUACCUCUGUGGACCAGACAAUUCUGUACGGCUAGAGCUUGGAAAACGAGGGUACAAAGCCGAGAUGUGAGUCAUAGGACCAGGGACUUGUUGGGACUUCACCCAGCGAGCAGUGAGAAGCCAUGGAAGAGGUGUGAGCAGAGAAGACAUGGUAGAUUUGAGAAUUUAAACGCCUGUUCUAGCUAAAUUGAAAAUAGACCACAUUGGAGGCAGGAGUGGGUGCAGGGAGACAAGUAGGAGGGUUCUGCCCUAGACCAGGUUGAACCACAGUCGUGGCAGUGAGGUUGGAUCAAUAAGCUGGAAAAUGUUGUUCUCAUAUUGCUUCCUGCAUCAGAUGGAAAAAACACCUCAAAGAAGUUGAGUGAUUCGUACAAGAUCAUAGAACCAAUAUGUGGGAGCACCAGGUCCAGACCUAGCUUCUGUCACUGGUUUAAAGCUCUAUCCAGAGUACCAGAACUUCUCAAGCUUCUUCUGUGACAUGAGUUUGUCUACAUGGCAGAUGCAUUUCCACACGUGUAUCUGUUUACUCCCUUGCAAGAAAGCAGAUCCCAAAGCACAAGAGUUAGAGAGGGGGGUUAUUACAUAGGCAACGGUGAUUUCACUCUGGUUCAUUAAAAACAGAAAAGGAAUCAUUUGAAAAUGUAUUCACUUACCUCUUAUUAGUAACAAAUCUCUCCCAUUCCAGUUGGUGCCUGAGACUUGCACCCAGCUUGAAGCUACUGAUAGCUUCACUUACUCUUGAGAUUGGGAUGGGGGAUGAGGGGAGAAUUUCUUUUUUCUGCUCUAUCUUUAAGGAAUGUUGCUCCAUUUCAUUUUCCCAAAGAGAGUAGGGACAGAAGACUCUGCUGCUCAUUUCUGAGGUGACUAAUGGGCUCUCAGGUCCCAGGUCUGGAACCUUGGUUAUAAAGUUGUUUCUGAGAGGUAUGUAUGAGGGAGGUAAUGAAAGAAUGCAGAAGGUAAGAUUCUGAUGAGCUGCAUCUGUCAUGACUCUCUGAGGUCACAGAUUUGCAGAAGUGAUUCUGUUUAGUCAAAGUUCUUUGGGGCAAGACCCUGUAAUUCCUCCUUUAUGGUGAAUUGCCCUUCCCCUCCACUUCUAUCCCCACCCCCCUCUCUCCCCACCCCAUUUUUCCUCAUUUCCUCCCUCCCUUCUUCCCUUCAUCCUUCCUCCCCAACCCCCCUCUUUCUUUUAACAAUAGUUCUUGGAUGCUGGAUUCCAUAGUAGAGGGUUUUGUGGUUAAUACCCAAGCUAAUGCACACAUAGGUCAAAGGAAAAAUUAUGACAAUAUUUCACGGCAGAUGAGACUAUAGAAGUUAGACUGUAGAUGUAGGAUAAAAAUCACCUAAAAGCCCCCCAAUUCGCAAAUAGUGACCAUUCCAAAUUCCUACUGAAUUACUCCCAGAUGCAUUUUCCUUUUCUAUAGGCCAUGUUUAGAUCUUGGGAGGAGCUCACUGGGUGCUGACAAAGGAAUAGUUUUAGAAAGCACCAGAUAGGCCUGCAGGUAUUCUGGCAUGGGCUCAAAGGCCACAGGCAUCCUCUGUCCCAGCUGUCACAAUAGAAUAGGAAUGGGUUGGUGAGCAUGUGACAGGGUGAGGAGGGAGCUGCUGAAAGACCUCAGGGUACCACCAAUCAUGUGCUUUCCCUACCCCCAGAUGGCCUCAUACUUUUUUCCUUUCCUUACCCAACCAGAAGAUUCAGAUUCUUGUGGGAAGGAGGAGGGCUCAGCCCAGCUCAGACCCAGAAUGGAGAAAGGAGGAAUGAGAACUAAAGGAAUCCUCAUAAAGGAUCCUGGCAUCCUCCCACGAGUGAACUCUGACCACAUACUCAUCUGUAUUGCGAAAAUAACACUGAUCUCACGAGGCUAAUGACAUUUUCUUGGCUCAAAGAUCACAGCAAACAAUUUCGGCCACAGGAACAAAACAUUCCUUUAAAAAUAUUCAGUGUAAAGAUUCCAGCUCACUGAAGACUGGAGCCAUUUUUUUUCUGGGGGAAAAAUCAUCAGGAAAAGCCCAAAGCAAUUCAUAAGCCCUGCGUGGACUGAAUUUGAAGCUGGGCAGCUGUAGGCCAGUGAGGCCAAGCAGAGCCUCACACUGCAGAUACCCAGUCCACUCAGUUACCAUGAAUGAAACUCACUUACCUUUUCCAGAAUAAAACUUUUGGCAGAUCCGUUUUCUUAGGACUAUCAUUGUGGCUAUGAACAUUAAAGCAAUGAUGAAGGAGAGGAUGAAAAUAUGAAGCAGUGAAGAUGGACGGAUCUCGGGGGAUUCCAGAUCACCUGGAGGAAAGAAAAGCACCAGAAUCCCAUUACAUGUUAGCUUAGAGGUAAACCAACAAGUUGGCCAAAUGACUGGGUUAUAACCAACAUGGCCAACUUGCACUGAGCAUUUACUCCAUGCCAGGUACUGUCCUAUGAAUGCUGUAUGUAUAUGAAUGCUGUAUAUAUAUGAAUGCUGUAUGUAUAUGAAUGUUGUAUGUAUUAGCUCUUUUACUCCUCACAACCAUCCUAUGAGACAGGCUCUACUAUGACCCUCAUUUUACUGAUGGAGGAAGUGAGGCACAGAGGCCUUUCCCAAAGUUAUACAGUAAGUGACAUAGCUUAAGUAAGUGACAUAGAUAUAAUCCAGGCUGCCUGGUUCCAGAUCCCAUGCUUUUCAUCAUUCUGAUACACCUAUCAUAUUAUGUCUUCCUUCCUUCUUUCUUUCUUCUCUUUCUUUCAUUCCUUUCUUUCUUCCUUCCUUCCUUCCUUCUUUCUUUCUCCCUUCCUCCCUUCUUUCCUUCCUUCCUUCCUUUUUUCUUCUUUCUUUCCCUUCUUUCUCUCUCUCCUUCUCUCCUCCUUCAUCAUCUCUCUUUUCCCAGUAGGAUAGUCUCUCAGCCCAAAUAUGUCUCCUCACUCCACUGGUAAGCACUCAUGGUGCUUAGAAUUUUUACCAUCAGUUAUUCAAUCUCCAGGAUUAACAGGAUCCUUUUGAAAAAACUAGAAUAUCAUACCUUAGCAUGAAUCACUACAACUAGCCCUUUUCCUUGUCUCAGCUAAUCAAGGUCUGACAGUGAGGAAAAGAUGAAUUAGUAGAGAGGUGGAUGAGAAGAGUAAUUUUGGAGGUUGGGGGAAAGACUUGUAAAGGAGAGCUCUGGUUAGAAUGAGGGCCCCAGACUGACAAAGGGCAGGCCUGGAGGGGCGUCCACUGUAGGGAGAUGGAAGGGUAUCCAGGAUAAACUGUGCCCUUUCCAAAAGGCUGAAUUUUGCCUCAUGGAGUAACUCAUAAAGAAUAAACAUAACAGGGAAUUCCCUGGAGGCCCAGUGGUUAGGAGUGUGCGCUCUCACUGCUGAGGGCCCCAGGUUCAAUCCCUGGUUGGGGAGCUAAAAUCCCACAAGCUGUGCGGCGUGGCUAAAAGAGAAAAAAGAACAUAACAGCCUGGUCCAGGAAAAACGUGGCAAAACUGCUCAUGAGGAAGGGCUCAGUCCUGCCAACUGCCCUCCCCCUCCCCUAUCAUAGGGCUGUCUGAGAAUCACAGACAGUUUUAGCUGAGGAGGGAUCAGAUAUCAUUUGAUGUGAGGCCUUCGUUUUACAGUUGAGGAAGUAAGGCUCUGAGAUGCUAAAUUAUCUAUAAGGUCAUCACUGCUAAGUAAGUGACGAAGCCAGGAUUGCAAACCUAGAUCUGUCUGAUCCAAAGCUCAGGCCCCACAGAUAUUUGUCUCUAUCCUAAGAUUGUGGUGAACAUUAAGAAAAAUAAAAAGCAUUAUGAAGUCUGGUUCAUCUACACAUUGGAUAAUCCAUAUAUAAAAAUUUUAAUUGAGGUAUAAUUGUCAUAUAACAUUAUAUUAGUUUUAGGUAUACAACAUAAUGAUUUGAUAUUUGUAUAUACUGUGACUGAUCACCACAAUACGUCUAGUUAACCUCCCUUACCAUACAUAACCCAUAGUAAUUAAUAUCUUCUAGGAAAUGCUGAUUAAGCACUUGCUACAUGUAGCACCAUAAGUCAAAGAGUUCUCACUGUCCCCACAACAGGAGAGGCCCCUACUUCAGUGCCUUUAUGCAAACCCUUGUCCUGGGCAGGUUCCCUCAUAGUUCCUUCCACACACAAACUCUACUUAUUCCUGAAGACUUUCUAACAUUGAACAUCCAACAGGACAUCAGUCUGCUUAGAUUGUAAGUAUCUGAAGUGCAAAGAUUUUCUCUAAGUCAUCUCUGAAUCCCCUAUAGAGCCAGGCGCCAGCUACAUGAAAGGUGUCAAUAAGGAUCUGUUGGGCUGAAUUGACCAUCUGUCUAUCUAGUCUACCUUGCCCAAUCUUCCUUGUCAUUAGUUACCUUGUGGCAGACUGCUGCUUAUCCCUUAAAUCCAUUCUCCAUUUCUUCUCUAGUAUUAGCUAGGGAUUAGGUGGACACAUGGCUUCUCUGAGACUACAUUUCUAAUCCUCCCCUGCAGUUAGGUGUGGCCAGCCACGUGAACUAAGUUCAGGACUAGAGAAUGGGUCUUUUGAGUCUUGGCCUUCAAACACUGAAUGUGUCUCUUUUCCUUUCUGAAGGCUGAAACAUGAAUGUGGCAGUGACCCAGCUUUGACAAUUCAGCAGGGGUAACAUCCUGGAGAGUGCCAGAGCAACAAGAUGGAAAGAACCUGGAUUAUUGAAUACUUUAUGGAAUAUAGUGACUUACCUGCUCUGAACCACCUUCUAUCUCUGACUGUGACAUCAGAGAGAAAUAUACUCCUGCUUUAUUUGAGUCACUGUAUUUUGAGGUUACUUAGCCUACAUCCUAAUACAUCUUCUUUUAGAUUG